Molecule: ribosomal RNA, 393 nt
Filed under: uncultured bacterium
Lineage: Bacteria
Description: bacterial SSU rRNA
Rfam family: Bacterial small subunit ribosomal RNA
Source: RNAcentral
AUAUUGGACAAUGGGGGCAACCCUGAUCCAGCAAUGCCGCGUGAGUGAUGAAGGCCUUCGGGUUGUAAAGCUCUUUCACCCGCGACGAUGAUGACGGUACCUAGAGAAGAAGCACCGGCUAACUCCGUGCCAGCAGCCGCGGUAAUACGGAGGGUGCAAGCGUUGUUCGGAAUUACUGGGCGUAAAGCGCACGUAGGCGGGUUCGUAAGUCGAUUGUGAAAGCCCCGGGCUCAAUCCGGGAAUUGCAGUCGAAACUACGAGUCUUGAAUACCUGAGAGGGUGACGGAAUUCCUGGUGUAGAAGUGAAAUUCGUAGAUAUCAGGAGGAACACCGGAGGCGAAGGCGGUUGCCUGGCAGUGUAUUGACGCUGAGGUGCGAAAGCGUGGGGAGCAA